UUGGAGGGCAAGUCUGGUGCCGGCAGCCGCGGUAAUUCCAGCUCCAAUAGCGUAUAUUAAAGUUGUUGCAGUUAAAAAGCUCGUAGUUGAAUUUCGGGGUUAGUAGGUUGGUCAUGCCUCCGGUAUGUACUGGUCUCACUGAUUCCUCCUUCCUGAUGAAUCGUAAUGCCAUUAAUUUGGUGUUGCGGGGAAUUUGGACUGUUACUUUGAAAAAAUUAGAGUGUUUAAAGCAAGCUAACGCUUGAAUACAUUAGCAUGGAAUAAUGAAAUAGGACG
Molecule: ribosomal RNA, 276 nt
Filed under: uncultured Glomus
Lineage: Eukaryota; Fungi; Glomeromycota; Glomeromycetes; Glomerales; Glomeraceae
Description: partial 18S ribosomal RNA
Rfam family: Eukaryotic small subunit ribosomal RNA
Source: RNAcentral